AAGGAUGUAACUCAGUAGUAGAGGGCUUACCUAGCAUAUAUGAGGCCCUGGGUUCAACCUCCAGCAUUGUUA
Molecule: transfer RNA, 72 nt
Filed under: Dipodomys ordii (Ord's kangaroo rat)
Lineage: Eukaryota; Metazoa; Chordata; Mammalia; Rodentia; Heteromyidae
Rfam family: tRNA
About the family: Transfer RNA (tRNA) molecules are approximately 80 nucleotides in length. Their secondary structure includes four short double-helical elements and three loops (D, anti-codon, and T loops).
Source: Rfam by way of RNAcentral